This 340-nucleotide long non-coding RNA is filed under the name Nicotiana benthamiana. RNAcentral's name for it is "long non-coding RNA (NBEN_LNC001948)". Lineage: Eukaryota; Viridiplantae; Streptophyta; Magnoliopsida; Solanales; Solanaceae. The record is from RNAcentral.
UGCCCCAAUUACUUAGGUUAGGGGAAUUGGUCCGUUCACUUUAAUUUAUCCGGUUAACCGGACCGGUCGAACCCGUCAACCAAAAUCCUUGUAGAACCGGUUAACCGGCUCAGCCCGACCUAAUUUAAAGGCUAGAUUUCAAUUAUUUUUAUUUAUUUUUGAGGUUUUAGAGUCUAAGGCAAUGCAAAAUCUUUAAAUGUACUCUUUUUCGUCAAUUUACUUAUUAAAUGUAAACCUAUCAAUUAUAAGUUUAUAAAUGUAGCACUUGCAAUUUAUAAGUAGAAUUUUUUUCCAUCAUCAUUAUAUUCCUUAUAUUUUUACUUUAUAUUAAUAUAAAUUA